This is a small nuclear RNA of Heterocephalus glaber (naked mole-rat), 149 nucleotides long. Its record names the gene U4. It matches the Rfam family "U4 spliceosomal RNA". Rfam says of the family: U4 small nuclear RNA (U4 snRNA) is a component of the major U2-dependent spliceosome. The structure of U4 snRNA from yeast and human has been reported. U4 snRNA presents a k-turn RNA motif in the 5p-SL related to recognition of Snu13 protein. The record is from Ensembl. NCBI's taxonomy places the organism in Eukaryota, Metazoa, Chordata, Mammalia, Rodentia, Bathyergidae.
AGCUUUGCACAGUGCCAGUAUUGUAGCCAAUGAGGUUUAUCCAAGGCACAAUUAUUGCUAACUGUCUUUAGUGAAUACUCAAUACUUUUUUCUCUUUGCUAGAAAAACCACUGCAGAGGCUUUUUUAUUUUUAAAUAUUACAGUUGUGA